Dromaius novaehollandiae (emu) is the source of this 5638-nucleotide long non-coding RNA. RefSeq lists it as uncharacterized. Lineage: Eukaryota; Metazoa; Chordata; Aves; Casuariiformes; Dromaiidae. The transcript has 5 exons. The record is from RefSeq and is a predicted model, not a curated record.
CCUGGUUUAUCAGGUAAACUAAGGAAUGCUUUCUGUAGGAACUAAAAACAAGGAGGGUAAACCCUAAUACUAACAUAAAGCAGAAAAAAAAUCCUUUUGAAGUAUUGCCCUGUGGAACUAGCUUAGACUAGUUUGGUCAGGUUUAGGAAGCUUUAGAAGACAGAGGACUUGAAAAUGCAGAGAAUCUCAGUUCUGACAUGAGAGAAAAGGCAUUUUACCUGCCUGAUCACUGACAGAUGUGAGACUGAGCAAGACAGACGCAAACGACCUAAAGGAUUUUGAUGUGGAAAAUAUGUGAUGAGCAGCUACAUAGGAGACAAAGCCUGCAUUCCUCAUAUAGCUGGUGUGGAGGCAGAGGGCCUGGAGACACACUACGGUAUGCAAGUAAGCCUGACUCCUUCAACACUCUAAAAGAUAUGGAAGAAUUGCAGUUCAUAGAUAUUUGGCUACUGAUUUAACCACUAAUGACAUGUAUGGUCUGCCUCCUUGGAAAAGUCUCUUCGCAGCUCCGUACUUUGAUUUCCCUCCUUGUAAAACUGACUACAGAUAUUUCUACCCCUUGUGAGACGGUUCAAGGAAGUUUCAGGAGAAGGAUGCUAUAUAACGAACAAAGAGACACAAGACAAAAAGCUGGGAAAGGAUCCUGGAAUGCAGGGACCGAUACUCAAUGGCUGCUGGGGAAGAGACAGACAGUUGCUCUCUGUUUGAGCCAUCCUUUGGUCAGAGCAGCAACACAAGGUGCUCCAAGCAAAAAGCAGGGAUCAGCUGCUCGAGCCAUAUCAGCUGCUGGAAAAGUCAAUCCCCAUACUAUCGAGUCCAUACAAAGUAAUUGCUGGCAGUCAUGUGCCUCCCAGCAGUGUGAUUACUUGGCAGUCUCCUGACCUAAACAGUUUCCUGUUUUGCCUAAGCCUAAAGCCAUCCCUGAAUCCAAAUUCCCAGUUUGGCAGAUGAUGGGACGAAUAGGUAUGACAAAGGCUCAGUGACAUUAUGGACAGGCCUAGAGUCAGGCUUUUGGGUGUCUAUGGGUCUCUACUAAUAGUGAUGUAAUGACAGAGGGAUGUAGCUAUCAACAGCAUAUGCAGCAAGUGAGGGAGAGCUGGAGGAUUCUGUGUAUAUACAUACAGCAUCAAUUAUUUCCUGCAUUCUUCUGUGGCUGUAGCUGUAUGUAACUUGUUGUAACUGGAAUGCAACUUUUUUUAUCUGAAAGCACUUAGGGCCAAUGCAUUGAUCCACAUGUAGCGGAAUGAAAACCAACCUUAAAAACAUAGUAAACAGCACCAAAUAUUUAUAAGUAUUUAAAAAUAUUGAUAAAUAAUUGAUCAACAGACAGAAGGAGCAUACAGAAAAUAAAUUCUUUGUAAGAAAUUCCACCUUUCGUAUGACUAGCAAAAGGUAGUAAACUUCUCAUGAAGUUCUGAUCAAUACCAAAACAGAGUGGCCACAUAUCAAUAGAAAACAAAACAAAACAAAACAAAACAAAAAAACAUUAGCUCAUUCUCUUCCCUCUCACUCUAAUAACCAUCCAGUCUGAGCUUAGAAGCACCAAUGAAUUUUAGUGUCUGUUGUCAAUCCAGCUUCCUUGCUCACUUGUAACCUGCAGGGCUCCUGGAAAUCAUUUCAAUGACACACCCAAAACAUAGGAAAUCUACCAUCCACAAUUCUUCACUUUCUUUCCCAGUCUUCCCCUUCCCUUCUGCACAUGCACCUACUUCUGUAUUUAUUUUCCCUGAAGAACAAAGUUGAGAAGAAGAAAUAAGACUUCUAAGAGAUGAGAUAUACAUAAAGAAAGGUAGGUUCAUGUGGCUUGGCCCUUCAGAACUGAUUCCAAGUUUCAAUAUAAACAAAUCUAUAGACCUUCUUACAGCAUCCAUUACAUAGUGCACCAGAGGAUAAAAGAUUUUUUUUUAAAAAAAACAUGUAUUUCCUUACUUCCUAUUUAUAUAAAUUCCUUAAGUUGGGCCUGAGUUUUCCUGGAGGUAUGAGGAGAUAUGUUUAGAGAAUCUUCUCUCCAGAGAAAGGUCCCUAGAGUUUAGACAGUAAUUUAAGAAGUCCUGGACAGUGUUGCAGCUGAUAGAUAUGUAUGUGUUUCAUAUGAACUGUAAUCAAUGCAGGCUCUUUUUUUAGGGGCAGGCUGACAUGUCCAUCAAGACAUGACAGAAGGGGAAAAAAAAAAGAUUUAGAGAUUUCAAAUUGCUUAUAACUGGGUCACAUUAAUCUGUGAUAGCUAACAAAACAACAAUAGGAACAUAUUGCUAUUGUUAUCAUUCUUCUUCUUCUCUUCUUUUGAUCCAGCCUAUUUAGCUGUACCACGCUUUAGAUUACACUGUACGUGCUCCUACUGAGAGGCUGUGUUUAUCCAGGAGUUUGUGCAGCAGCAGUCCAAGAGCCUUGAUAUGCACAAGGGACUUGAAUUUACUUAGUAAAAUAAAUCAUCAUGUAUACGUCUUUUGGUGGUUUUUUUUGUUUGUUUGGUUUUUUUUGUUUUUUUUUUUUUUUGAAGCAUGCAGUCUACAGUAUUUCAAAUCUAACAAUACCUGUGAUGAAAAGUUAUUGGCACCCCCAUCAUUGUGACUAGGAACUAAUGAAAGCUAGUCUGGAUGUGGAAAGACAAAUUAUUAGGACAAGAUCCAGCCCUGAGAAAACUCUGAAUCAGGUCUGUGAGGUCCUAUCUGAGGUCUCCGUAAGAGAUUUCUUGGCACACAAAACACAGAUUUGGAGGAGGAGUGGGUAGUCUCCAUUUAACAGUAAACAUUUAAAUAUUUUAUGUUGUGUUUUUUGGAACAGGGAUUCAAAGUUCAGUCUCCCAACGCCCAGCCUAGUGUGCAAAACAGCAGUCUCUUGGAAAGUCAUUCUUAACCUCUGUCCGCAGAUGGUUAAUAAUAACACUGGGCACCCUCAUGAAAAGUGUAGAAAUGAGCCAGAAGAUGGAUUUAAAUGCAUAUUCCCCUUACUCACUUACUAGAGUAAGUACUACAGCCAAUAGAUGGCUGGAUUAAACUCUACCUUCACGAGUUUUGUGAGAAAGGACUGGUUUAAGCAUCAAACUUCAACAGGAGACUCAAAUAGCAAUGGAUGGCUUCUUAAUCCUCUUCAGAGUCAGGGAUUAAUCUAUAAGCUUCCCUCCUAAAUAUUGCUGAGUAGUCAGUUUAGGCAGCUCCCUGAUUCUAGUGUUGGUUCUUCAGGAUCCUCAUGUAAGCUCAAACGCUUUGUCCAUACAUGCUAUGGGAAGCUUAGGCAUUUAGUUUAAGGGCUAUGUGUUCUAUUGCUGAUAAAAUGGCUAAAAAUGAAGUCCACCACCUUUUAUGCAAUUUGGGUUACAUGAGUACAUUUCUUAUAUUUCUGGUAGUUAGGAACUGUUGCCGAAGUUCACGGUAGAACUGAUGCUGACUUCAGUGGUGCAAGGCCAAGUCCCAAAGGCACAUUUACUUGAGUUUUCCACUGAAGCAUGUCCUGAGAUGCAAGAACUUUCAUGGAGAUUGUGAAUAAAUGAGCACAACAGACUGCUUAGCGUCUACAGAGUCUAUAGGGCUUAGCCCACACAAAUCACAAAGUAAAGAAAGGGUAAGUGAACCUCACUCAUCAAGUGUUCCUUUGUAAUGAGACAGCUAGUCAAGUCUCCUUUGACUAAAAGCUUUAUUACAGAUUGUGUACUAUCUGUAUGGACCAGAAGGCAGGAAAAGUCUUCUAUUUAGUUUGCUGUGAUUGUUUACUAUAGGAAUCUUUGCUGUUAUCUGCAAUGAUCCCUUCUUGAGGAAGUAAUAGGAGAGUAGGACUGGUGAUCAAAAUUGGUUGUAGUGUAAUAAAUAGAGAAAGACAAAAAAUGACAAAAUAAAAUUAAACAUUUUAUGGAGCCACACUUUAAUUUUGUAAUUAAAAAGCAUCAUUUAAUCAUUAAUCUUGAUUAAAAAAUCAGUUUCCCACAGGCCAGCUUCAUGGGGUAGAACCGUUCAGAGGCCUGAACACAUUUGGUUUAAGUCCAGCAGGCAUAGUACUGCUGUCACCCAACCUGCGACACAGAACAGAGAUCGGUAAAACCUAGGUGAUCUGCUGUGAACUACACUCCCCUGAAGAAGCUUUUAUUUUCCCACAUUACUGGAUCUCUUAUUUUUCUGUCAUCGGGCUGGUGCAUUCCUGCUAUUGGGUGACCAUAACUGGACUGCAAGAAACACAACUAUGGUAUUGGGCCCUAGGUAUAAUAUCAGUAUAUCAUGUUACUGCUGUGCAUCUGUACUAUGGAUUUGAUUGUAGAUAUCCUCAUGGCACUCAUACUGUACACAGCUGGAUAACUUCAAGAGAUGAUGUCUCAUUAUUCACUAGGUAAAACUGCAGUGGGGUUAGCCCUUUCUUGAGCCACACUGCAGUGAACUGAUUAUAAGAAAAGGAUGUGUGAUUUCAGUAUGAUACCUACAAUUCAUUCCUUAACAAGGAAGUUACAGUUUCAGAUGAUUUCACCUACAGUCUGUACAGACCUGUCAAGUCACAUGUGCUGAGUAAAAUGCUCACUCACCCUUUUGGCCCCCACCUCAGCCUGUCCUCAUACAGAGACUGCCUCUGCUUUUGGAGCACACCCCAUGCAUCACAGGCAGCUGACAACUGUUAUCAGCUCUUCCCCCGGGGAACACCCCGCUGUGCAGGUCCUGCCUUAUCACAAGCUUAUCCAGCAUGAUUCCAGUAUCUUGCAAAAUCCCAUUGCAACAUAUUCAACAGCUCCUCUUGCUGCAGUGUUAUUUACCUUCCUCUAAAUAGACACAACUUGCACAUGAGUUGGGAAGUAAAUACAAUCCUGCCUCCAUUUAGUCAACUUUCUGUCUGUCUUGGAAGGUCACUCAUGCCUGAGAGGAGUGUACUGAGAUUAUUACAUUCUGUAAAAUAUUAACCCCAUCUUCUAAGCAUAUGGGGAAAUUCAGUAGAUUUUUUUGCUGAUUCAAAGCAGAAUACUUUUUUUAAUUGUUCUCUCUGUUACUCUCUACCUGCAAAGAAAACUUGACUUAAAUGACAUAUCCUUACUAAUUCAUUCCUAGCUUGUAUUUUCAACAAUUUUUUUCCAUUGCUAAUCUUUCAUAUAUGCAUGGGUGGAGUACUCAUGGCAGCUCAAACCUGUUUAACAAGAAAGAAUCUACUGCAUAAAGGAAGUAUGUAUCUCCAUUACCACAUUUAAAAACUAUAAUUGGUAACAUAUUCUGGAGUUUUAGAUUGAUUUCAAGAACUUUUCGGUAAGUUUUCAUUAUGCUCUUUUAUUUAGAGAAAACUUGUUCGUUGACGCUGAAUAUUUCUGAAGAAGUGUGUCAACUUCCUAAAAUUUUGUCAGGCACAGGAUAUAGUCUCUUAUACUGAGAUUGCUAUGUCAGAUUAAUUUACUGAUCCAAAAUAAGGAUAUUCAACCUUUUCUUGUAUUGCUUAAUUAAUUUCUUCCCUGAUAAUCAUGCAGGUUAGGAGAAAUAUUGAAGUUGUCAUAGCAGUGUGAUAAAAGACAUAGACAGUCCAAACAGCAAUUCAUAUGAUUGGAAAUGCAAACUUUAAUCUUCUUUACUUUGUAUUGUUCAGAUUUUCAGUCAUAAUGAUAGCUGAUAACAUUUUUUGUCAUUGUUUUCCUUUCCUGAAUAUUGCAUAGAAAUAAAUGAACACUCAUUAAAAUAUA